This 116-nucleotide ribosomal RNA is filed under the name uncultured eukaryote. RNAcentral describes it as "partial small subunit ribosomal RNA". The record is from RNAcentral.
GUUGGYUCUACYUKAAGACGGURYGCUAACCGCAAGGAGGCAGCCGGCCACGGUAGGGUCAGCGACUGGGGUGAAGUCGUAACAAGGUAGCCGUAGGUGAACCUGCAGAAGGAUCA